GCGGUAGGCCUAACACAUGCAAGUCGAACGAGUGGCGGACGGGUGAGGAAUGCAUCGGAAUCUACUCUUUCGUGGGGGAUAACGUAGGGAAACUUACGCUAAUACCGCAUACGAAUGAAUGAGCCGAUGCCCGAUUAGCUAGUUGGCGGGGUAAGAGCCCACCAAGGCGACGAUCGGUAGCUGGUCUGAGAGGAUGAUCAGCCACACUGGAACUGAGACACGGUCCAGACUCCUACGGGAGGCAGCAGUGGGGAAUAUUGGACAAUGGGCGCAAGCCUGAUCCAGCCAUACCGCGUGGGUGAAGAAGGCCUUCGGGUUGUAAAGCCCUUUUGUUGGGAAAGCGGUACCCAAAGAAUAAGCACCGGCUAACUUCGUGCCAGCAGCCGCGGUAAUACGAAGGGUGCAAGCGUUACUCGGAAUUACUGGGCGUAAAGCGUGCGUAGGUGGUUGUUUAAGUCUGUCGUGAAAGCCCUGGGCUCAACCUGGGAAUUGCGAUGGAAACUGGGCGACUAGAGUGUGGCAGAGGAUAGUGGAAUUCCUGGUGUAGCAGUGAAAUGCGUAGAGAUC
This 567-nucleotide ribosomal RNA is filed under the name uncultured bacterium. RNAcentral's name for it is "bacterial SSU rRNA". It matches the Rfam family "Bacterial small subunit ribosomal RNA", at positions 39 to 698 of the family's 1533-position model. The record is from RNAcentral.